CGGGUGAGUAACGCGUGGGUAACCUACUCUGUACACACGGAUAACAUACCGAAAGGUAUGCUAAUACAGGAUAAUAUAUUUGAGAGGCAUCUCUUGAAUAUCAAAGGUGAGCCAGUACAGGAUGGACCCGCGUCUGAUUAGCUAGUUGGUAAGGUAACGGCUUACCAAGGCGACGAUCAGUAGCCGACCUGAGAGGGUGAUCGGCCACAUUGGAACUGAGACACGGUCCAA
RNAcentral lists this ribosomal RNA (231 nucleotides) under uncultured bacterium. RNAcentral describes it as "partial 16S ribosomal RNA". It matches the Rfam family "Bacterial small subunit ribosomal RNA", at positions 103 to 334 of the family's 1533-position model. The record is from RNAcentral.